AUGAUGUUGAAAUGGAUACAGGUGCUUAUGGUGAUACUGAUGGUUGGUGGACUGAUCUCUGCUCUUCCUCUGCAGGAAGCUGAAGGGAGAAGCAGCAGAAUGCGUAGAAACACAAACUGCAUAAAGUGUCCAGCAGGCAAAUACUCUUCGUCUUGUAAUGAGUGUGCUGAUUGUCCUCGUUGGACCUACAACAGUAAGGAAAACACAGAGAGGAGAUGUCAUUCCUGCUACAAGAACUGCAGACCAGAGUUCCACAUGCAGGUGGUGAAGAAAUGCAGCAGUGUGUCUGAUGUGGUGUGUCGCUGCAUGGACGGCUAUUUCUGCAAUAAAAUGGAUAUUUAUACAAAACAAUGCACAUUGUGUUCACCAAUCCCAACCUCCCAGCCCACUACAACUUCUACUACUCAGCAUGAUCCUGAACCUGAAACUACUCCAGAUGUCAAGGUUCAUGCAGGUAUAGAGGUCUGGAUUGUGGUUGUAGUGCUGUUGAGUCUUACUCUGAGCGUUUUCAUCACGAUGCAUCUCUGCAGACGAAGAAAAAAGUGCCUCAAGGACCUGGUGAAGCGAUGCUCUCAUGCUAAUCAAAAGACCAAUGCUGCUACUACAGCCUCUCCAAUAGCUGAGCUGAUCAGUCAGGCCCAGGCAGAGAAGGCGGAUUCACCUACACCCACCAGCGACAUCCCUGACAUCCCCAGUCCUCAGCCUGCCAGCACAGAGCAGCUUGUUCCUCCUCAUGGAAACCUAGGUCCUCUCCACAUUUAUGGUGCAGGCACAGUGUUUGUUAGUUUGCUGAACCAGUUUGGGCAGAACGGAAGAGAGAAGGAAGAAGAGCAUCUCCAGCAGGGAGGCUUAAACGAGAGCGAGCUGCGCUGUCCCAGCUCUCCCAGCACUCCCAGCUCCCCUCCACUCCCUCUAUCUACUGAAGAAAACAGUAAAGACAGCGGUUUUGUCUUUUUCCCUUCCCAGGAGCAAGGGAAGGAGUGUCACAUGUCCAAAGAAGAAGGGCUGUAUUCGAUGUUUUAGACGCUUCUAGGUCCUUUUCGGUUAGCUGUGCGAAUGCUGCGGGUGCUUCGAGCUUUAUGAGUACUCUACACCACAUCUUUGGCACUAUGUUCUGUCCAAAGAUCUAGAGAAGGUUUACACUCAGUAUUGCUCCAGUCCACAGCUUCCCCAACUCAACCUGGGGACAGCUGUGAUCCUGAAAAAGCAGCAUCGAAACAGCGUCUGCUUGCAGAUAGACACAAAUGUACUAGUUUGUGUGUAUGAGUAUGCAAGCCUGCUUGCACAUGUGUGUGUGUGUUUGUGUAUAAGUGAACAUGUGUUUUA
This 1326-nucleotide long non-coding RNA is filed under the name Astyanax mexicanus (Mexican tetra). Its description in RNAcentral is "lncRNA (ENSAMXG00005016088.1)". Lineage: Eukaryota; Metazoa; Chordata; Actinopteri; Characiformes; Acestrorhamphidae. The record is from RNAcentral.